GACGAACGCUGGCGGCGUGCUUAACACAUGCAAGUCGAACGGAAAGGCCCUGCUUUUGUGGGGUGCUCGAGUGGCGAACGGGUGAGUAACACGUGAGUAACCUGCCCUUGACUUUGGGAUAACUUCAGGAAACUGGGGCUAAUACCGGAUAGGAGCCCCUGCUGCAUGGUGGGGGUUGGAAAGUUUCGGCGGUUGGGGAUGGACUCGCGGCUUAUCAGCUUGUUGGUGGGGUAGUGGCUUACCAAGGCUUUGACGGGUAGCCGGCCUGAGAGGGUGACCGGCCACAUUGGGACUGAGAUACGGCCCAGACUCCUACGGGGGGCAGCAGUGGGGAAUAUUGCACAAUGGGCGGAAGCCUGAUGCAGCAACGCCGCGUGCGGGAUGACGGCCUUCGGGUUGUAAACCGCUUUCGCCUGUGACGAAGCGUGAGUGACGGUAAUGGGUAAAGAAGCACCGGCUAACUACGUG
RNAcentral lists this ribosomal RNA (468 nucleotides) under uncultured bacterium. Its description in RNAcentral is "partial 16S ribosomal RNA". It matches the Rfam family "Bacterial small subunit ribosomal RNA", at positions 28 to 507 of the family's 1533-position model. The record is from RNAcentral.